Molecule: long non-coding RNA, 1543 nt
Organism: Platichthys flesus (European flounder)
Lineage: Eukaryota; Metazoa; Chordata; Actinopteri; Pleuronectiformes; Pleuronectidae
Exons: 3
Source: RefSeq, a predicted model, not a curated record
UGUAGUGGUGGGGGAUAGGUAGAGACUUUACAGGAGUUUUCAUUAAUCGAGGACGGCUGGCGAGUCCAUGGUGAACGGUAAUCACCUGGCAGGUUCGUGAGUGUGUGCUCUCCACGCUCUCCCCCCCCCUCCGCUCGAGGGGCCGUAGCACCUACUACGAGCCCCUUAGCAGCUACUACGAACCCCGGUAGUAGCUGCUAAGAGCUCCGGUUGUAGCUGCUGGAGCUUGAAGUUAGCUACGGAUGCUUGUAGCUGCUGCUAAGAGCUCCGGUUGCAGCUGCUGGAGCUUGAAGUUAGCUACAGAUGUUUGUAGUAGCUGCUACAAGCUCAGGUUGUAGCUGCUGGAGCUUGAAGUUAGCUACGGAUGUUUGUAGUAGCUGCUAAGAGCUCCGGUUGUAGCUGCUGGAGCUUGAAGUUAGCUACGGAAGUUUGUAGUAGCUGCUACGAGUGUCGGCCGUAGCGAACUUCCAGCCCAGUGCUGCCGUGGGAAAAAAAUUAGCGGCACAGUACUAACGGGAGGACACGCGAGUGGGGGGGAAAGCACAACACUCACGAACCUAACUUCCAGCUGCAGCUGCUGCUAUGGCCGCUCGUUCAAGAUACCGGAGUAUGUUGUUCUCAUAAUGUGCGGGAAUAGAACGAUUAUUCAUUACCAGCCCUAGUUUGGGGAAAUGUGUCCUUGUAUCCUUGUAUGCAUGACAGCAGUACAAACAUGAAUAACAUUGCUGCUUUUGGUGUUCAGGCAAGCACAUCUGUUCACGGUGCUAGGCUACAUCACGUAGCAUGCCAGACGGACCCACCACAGAUGCGCACACAUGGAACGCAGCCUUCUAUGAAAACACUGCGACCUUACUACAAAAGUACAGGCCCACAGAAAACUGUGCUGCACUGAUGUCGGUGUUGGGACCUCAGCUAUAAGAGACCUUGCUUGGAGGAGGGAGAGGACAAGAUGUGACAUUACAUGGAUAACCUGUUGGACCUCAUCUUUCACGAGGUUUUUCAGGACCCGGCCCCAUAUGUGAAUGAGGUGUUGAAGAUCUCAAAAGCUGAGGAUCUCUCUGCCUAGUAUGAGAAACCUGACAAGCAGGAAGUUAUAGCCAGCUAUGUUUCGAGUUUCAAUCAAGGGCAGGUCUGAACCCUGUAUAACUUCCCUGAGCAUCAGGGAACACUCUGCUUAUCUGGAGCACCGAGCAGGAGGGCAGGACCACCCUGAUUCUCCGGCCCAGAGGGCUCCAACCCCAGCUCACAAAGCUUCUGUACGCCAAAUACCUGUAACGGCUGAGCAAAGUUCACAUUGUAUUUAGAGAUUAAAGGUGACACACAAAUAUAAAGUGUUCCUUUGUUUACAGUAUAGCUACUGAUGGCACAAAUUGUAUUUUUGUAAUGAAUGUAUUCAUUAUACUUGGUAUUUUUUGUAUUUAUUACCUCUGUCCCAGCCAGUACAUUUAAUAACUAUGUUUAAAAAGCUUUGUGGCCUUCUUUCUAGCAAUCUUUCUGACAAUAAAAGUUUAUAGAAACAGUUGUGUGCUUUUAAUGUUUGAUA